ACCUUUAAAAAAAUGGAAGUUUUUACUAGGUAUUAAUUUACUAUUUUAGCGGUCUGUGGAUUACUAGGACGUUGAACACCCUUAAUUUUAGAAGUAUUCAAUGCAGAAGAAUGGUCUGCUUACCUUAUUUUAUGGCGCCAGAUGUUCAACGUGACUUUUCACCCUUGGACCGAACUUUUGUCAAUCAAGUCGAAGAAGCCUCUUUCCUACAAAUCCCGGACGAGCCCCCAAUUGUUGUGCUUCUAAGGUGCACUCCCAGGUGAGGACUUCUUCACUGUAAUAGAUAGUAAUAACUUCACAGACACAGUAAGUUAAACACACAAUAGGCUUCAGCUGAAGGAGAACAACACUUCUUCUUACAGGCUCCUCAGCCUGCACUAACCAAGUGAGUUCUGAUCUCUCUUCCUCUUACCGCCCUUUUUAUUGGGGUUCAAACACACACACAUACGUUAUAGGCUACACCAUAUGUUGAGGCUCGGGUCAAAAGGGCACGACAUGUUCUUUAACCUACUUCAAACCAGUUUUAUGAUACUUCCCUGCUCGGACCCCCUGUUGCUACAUCCUGUUGCUACAUCCUGUUGCUAUCUCCUGUAAUAGGUGAAGAGAAGAGAUAUGUGUGCAUGCAAUUAAGUGAGAGCAACAUAUAGAAACUGAAGUAUAUAUAAUAAAACUGAAGUAUAUAAGAAUAUUUGAUGUA
Sander lucioperca (pikeperch) is the source of this 697-nucleotide long non-coding RNA. RefSeq lists it as uncharacterized. The transcript has 3 exons. The record is from RefSeq and is a predicted model, not a curated record. NCBI's taxonomy places the organism in Eukaryota, Metazoa, Chordata, Actinopteri, Perciformes, Percidae.